GGCUCCCUUUCUCAUUUUCCUACUUCUUUUCUCCCCUCCGAUCUCCGUAGAUAGUCUGUUAGUGUUUGCGCCCGUUACGUAUAUAUAUAUAUAGAGAGAAGGGUUCAAUAGAGAAGCUAAAUAUUGUGGAGAAUAGAGAAUUCGCAAAAUAAAAACGAACAGAUCUAUAGUUUUAAUGAACAGAUCAAUGUACCGCAUGAACAACAAUUUGCCCCGGGUUCGAAUCCUGCUGGUGGCGAGUUUUUCUAUAUUUUUAUUAAAUACGUCUGUUCAUUACUUAUGUUGAUCUGUUCAUAAAAUAUAUAGAUUUGUUCGUUCUCUCGAAAAAGAUAAUUCUCUGUUGAACUCAACCCUAUAUAUAUAUAUAGGGUCAAGUUAAAUAAAGAAUGACCCUAUGUAUAGAGAAUAGAGAUUAAAUCUCAUCCCUAGAAUUUGGCAGAUCGUGUGGUUGAAAUUAAAUGAUUUUUCAUAUCUUAAUUAACAAUUCAAAUAAACAAAAUAAUACUAUUAAUUCGAACAAGGGCAUUACAGUCAAUAUGUUUUGGAUAAAAACUGCAAGCCCUAAAAUCACUCCUCAUUAACAACUCACACGUUCCUCUCUCUCUCUCUCUCUCUCUCUCUCUCUCUCUCUCUCUCUUAUUUCUCAACCUCUCGGUCGUCUCUCACCUUCUCUGCAAAUCCUUCGUCUCUUUCUUCUUCAAUGGCGUCGUGGCGGCGGAUGAGGGGAUUGGCUGGGUGGAUGUCGCAAUCGCAAGCGGCGUAGAUAGAGACGACGUAAAAGGCCGCAGAUUUUCCGAUCACUUCUCUCUUCCCCUGCCUUCUGUUCUUGGUUCACGACGGUUGUCCACAGGAGGGCGCACGUCGCUACGAUCUGUGGCGUUGUUCUGCGCAGCGGCGAUGGGUGUGGUGGCGGUGGCAUUCACCACCACGAUGCGGGAGAGGUGGGCGGUCGUUUACGGACAGCGGCGAGAUCCUGAAGUUGACGACACAUGAGCAGGGUUGGGGAUGAAUGGCUGAUGCUGCUGGCAGAGCGCGGAGAAUACGGCCAGGUGAGGGGCGUGGUAGACGAGGACCGGGGCCAAUCGAAAAAAUGCAUAAUUCUCGAUCCGCCAUGAAAUUCGAGAAUGGGGAAUUAUGGCGAUAGUAGGAGAGGAGGAAACACGCCUUUCCUUUCUGUUUUUUCUAUUUUAUUGUUCAGUUAAUUUGUAAAUAAUUUUUCUAUAGUUGUUAGAGACGAGUGAAGAGAUUUUUAAAAAUUGUGAUUGUUAUUUGACUGUUCAUUUAGAAAUUGUAUUUUGUUCAUUGAAGAAAUUGUUUUCCGUUCAUUUAUAAAUUAUGUUCUGUUCA
This is a long non-coding RNA of Salvia miltiorrhiza (redroot sage), 1347 nucleotides long. RefSeq lists it as uncharacterized. The record is from RefSeq and is a predicted model, not a curated record. NCBI's taxonomy places the organism in Eukaryota, Viridiplantae, Streptophyta, Magnoliopsida, Lamiales, Lamiaceae. The transcript is spliced from 2 exons.